ACGGGUGAGUAACGCGUGGGUAUCUGUCUCUGGGUGGGGGAUAACGGUGGGAAACUACCGCUAAUACCGCAUGACACCUGAGGGUCAAAGGCGCAAGCCGCCUGGAGAGGAGCCCGCGUACGAUUAGCUAGUUGGCGGGGUAAAGGCCCACCAAGGCGACGAUCGUUAGCUGGUCUGAGAGGAUGAUCAGCCACACUGGGACUGAGACACGGCCCAGACUCCUACGGGAGGCAGCAGUGGGGAAUAUUGGACAAUGGGCGAAAGCCUGAUCCAGCAAUGCCGCGUGAGUGAAGAAGGUUUUCGGAUUGUAAAGUCCUUUCGGCGGGGACGAUGAUGACGGUACCCGCAGAAGAAGCCCCGGCUAACUUCGUGCCAGC
This 377-nucleotide ribosomal RNA is filed under the name uncultured bacterium. RNAcentral's name for it is "bacterial SSU rRNA". It matches the Rfam family "Bacterial small subunit ribosomal RNA", at positions 102 to 512 of the family's 1533-position model. The record is from RNAcentral.